GGGCCCGGGCCAUCGGCGGAAGUCCCCUGCGCCGUCGUGGGGCGGGACCGACGGCGUGGCCCGGGCCCGGGGAGCCCCCGGUGAGCGCGGACCCGCCUGGCGCGAAGGCGGGGCGCGGCCGCAGAGCCCGCUGGGCCCGCCGCGCUGUGCCGGUGCUGGCGGCCGCGGGCCGUGCCGGGACUGAAGUGAGCGCUCGAGUGUCCCACUUUUAUCGGGAGGAGGAGCUGCUGUGUGCCAUGGUGAAUCGCUUCUGGCCGGUCUUAGUCUUACUAACAGACGCGGCUUAGUCAUUCUCGGUGGGGACCCAGACACCUCGGCUCUGCACGGGCGGCCCUUCGGAGCUGCUUUUGUUGGAAAACAGGCCCGCAGCGCCCGCUGAGACGGGAACGGGCUGGCCCCGUGUGGGAAGAGCAGGGUACUCAUUACAUUAUCUUGCCUACCACUGGGUCGGUAGGUGGAGAGAGAAAAAAAUCCUGCUGACGUUUCGCUGUAGUUGUUGCUAUUGAAAAUGCCAGGUUGCUUCAAAGGACUAACCACAAGGAAGAGGAAAAACACCCUUAGCGAAAUAGUGGAGGGAGCUGCCUCAGCAGCAUGAAGAAACCUGUUCGAAAGUGGCGCAGAAAACGUAGUGCCAGGCCCAGAUGUUUUUACAGGCCAACCCUGCAAGUCUUCUCCUGGGGAUUUCCAGAGAAGGUGUGCUUGCCGUGGAGGUCUCCCCAUCUGGUCCCGGGUCUUGCUUGCAAUGGUAGUCCUGCCUCACCCUCCUCUAGCAGGGGGCACUGGACAUGCCCAGUUCCUUCCCUGGAGCAACUGGUGCCAGUGGGUUUGGUCACUCCCGGUACCUGCCGUCUGGAGCCUCUUUCAGGACCUGUCCCUCCGGUCGCUCUCCAGAGAGACCCUGUGCCACUCAUUAUAGCACGUGACUUCUCUCUCCGAGCCACUGCCUGAAGUGGACGAGGUCCAGGCUUUGUGCUGCAGACAAACUAGCCAUCUGGACACACCCAAGACAUGCCCCCCGCCCCCAGGCAGUGACUGGAAGAUUAAAAAAACAAAAAAACCCACCCUGUGUUAGAGCCCUGGUGUCAUUAUACUCAUUUACCUGCAAGCUGGUACUGUAAUACCCUCAAGGGAAAGCUUGCCGUUCUAUCCCAAAAUAGAAACACCGAGAUACAAAUUCUGCCUUGAGAGGGACUAAGUAAGGAUUCUUGUAGAAUGGAGCUUUUCUUCUCCAAAUGAAGGGCAUUUCCUUUUUAUUUUACACUAGGAGUUUAAUGUCGAAACCGAGUUGUUGUAACUUCCCUAAUGAAAUGCCUGCUGGAGAAUGGAGAGGCUAUUUUAGUUCUGGUCUCCCUUGCCAUAAAAGGCUCCGGGAUCAAGGGGGUUAAGGCUGGCCCUGGAUCCGGGACAGCAAUUCCUUAUAUUGUAUCAAAAGUCUUUCAUGCUGCCUGGCCUUUCAUGUAGCUCCGAAGCAGCUUUAUCGAUCUAUGCUAAGUAAACAUAGCUUUGUUUUCGUCUUCCACCCUCCGCCCUCCCUCCCGGCACAGACUGGAGUUGGAUCCCUUCCAAAGCGGCUGCUGCAGCAGCAAGAGCCGCCUCCUCCACACACAGAAGCAGGGCUUCUAGGAAACAGAAACCCAAGGUAUUGAAAGAUUGAGUGAUUUGCCUACAGUAGCAUUAACGUUUUAUGUACAGAGGAGACACAGAAGGCUCCCUGCAGAAGGAAAAAAGGAAGAAAAAUUUAAAAGACUCAUCAUGGGCUAUAAUUAAUUAAUUGGAGUAAGUGUGCAUUAGCACAUCUGCUCCUGUGCCCACAUGGCAAUGCCUCUUUGCCAAGGGGAGUGCAGAAUCAUCGAGACAAUCCAGAUUCAUGCUCAGAACUGAGUUGACACAGAGAAGAAGAAAGCCGAACUUUGUCUUGAGAACAGACAGCCCAAGUUUGUGACCUGCCGAAAGACCACCAGUGGACAGAAAUAGAGAAACAGAUUUCCUAUUGCGACUGCCUAAAUAUAGUGUGUUUACUAAAAAGCUGGUCACAGCUAAAAUGCAAGUACGGAUGAACUUUGAUGGAUUUGUUGGCCUGCCUUGUCAGCCCUUCCAGCAAAUUCCUUAGUGAGGAAACAGGUCUGAAAACUUGCCUGGGAACUUCACACAUGGGCACUUCCUAGGGGCUAUCUCUUAGCAUUUCAGAGAUAGCUAGAUUUUGAACAUUUUUCAGAUUGCUUUUAUUCCACUACCUAUCGAUCUACCUACAUUUGCAUUAACAGAUCAAUUCGUUCUUCUUCACCAUGACUAAGACGUCAUGUCUGCUCACUUUAUCAAUUUAUUGGAGCACCAGGGAAAUGAAGACUUUGCUGUAAACAACAGCCAGAAUCCACGUUUCCCGGACUGCAGUUCUUUCUUUAGCCCACUGGUGGGCUACCUCCUAUUUCUGUUUUCUUCCCAGGUUCUUUUUUUACAUACAUGUAAAUACCCACAUAGGAAGUGGGCAAGGAACCAUAGGUUCUGUUCACACACCCAGCAGAUCACCUGAUGCAGGUCACUUGGAAACCCUGGGCUGGCGUUUUUCUCUACUGGGAGAUGAGACGCUGAACUCGAUGCCAUUUCCACCCAGACCCUUCCCACGGUGCGUGAUUUCAUGGGCAUACAGGGGACUUUGACAAACCCAAGCCCCACAUUCUUCUGACACAAGUGGCAUCACAAAACAAUGCAUAGGAGUGA
Long non-coding RNA from Lontra canadensis (Northern American river otter), 2718 nucleotides. RefSeq lists it as uncharacterized. The record is from RefSeq and is a predicted model, not a curated record. Lineage: Eukaryota; Metazoa; Chordata; Mammalia; Carnivora; Mustelidae. The transcript is spliced from 3 exons.